GACAGAGGUCUCAAGCGUUGUUCGGAUUCAUUGGGCGUAAAGGGUGCGUAGGCGGCGCGGUAAGUCGGGUGUGAAAUCUUGGAGCUUAACUCCGAAACUGCAUUCGAUACUGCCGUGCUUGAGGACUGGAGAGGAGACUGGAAUUUACGGUGUAGCGGUGAAAUGCGUAGAUAUCGUAAGGAAGACCAGUGGCGAAGGCGGGUCUCUGGACAGUUCCUGACGCUGAGGCACGAAGGCCAGGGGAGCAAACGGG
This 253-nucleotide ribosomal RNA is filed under the name uncultured bacterium. RNAcentral's name for it is "partial 16S ribosomal RNA". It matches the Rfam family "Bacterial small subunit ribosomal RNA", at positions 524 to 776 of the family's 1533-position model. The record is from RNAcentral.